UCUUCUGCGGGCUACGUUACCAAAGGGUUAAAUAAAUAUAUAUCUCGAGGGAGAAGAGCACGUCAGUGGAAGAAAGCCGGCAGAAAAAGUAAGUAUUUAAAAAAAAAAAAAAAAAUAAUUGAGGUGAUAGACGGAUGGAUGGAGUCAUGGAGAGACAUAUUUAUGCCCCUAGAGGGUGGCUGGGGAGUGGGGAUAUAAUCAGUUGAUUAUGAAUAUUAUUGAAACAUAUUUGCAGGCCUGCAGUGCACCAUGUCUGAAAUGUGUGCAGUUGAUGUUCAGUCCCCUAUAACCUCUGUUCUUCCAUAUUGACGAUAUUCUAUUUAAUAUGAAAUGGGAACCAAAAUGGGUGGACUGGUAGGUGGUACAAAGCAAAUGGCAACUGCUCAAAACAGCACACAUGUAUGACCUCAAUACCUUAAUUGUGCUUUUAACUUCAUUAUUACCUGGACCGGAGAUUUAUUAG
Long non-coding RNA from Spea bombifrons (plains spadefoot toad), 463 nucleotides. RefSeq lists it as uncharacterized. The transcript has 2 exons. The record is from RefSeq and is a predicted model, not a curated record. NCBI's taxonomy places the organism in Eukaryota, Metazoa, Chordata, Amphibia, Anura, Pelobatidae.